Molecule: long non-coding RNA, 475 nt
Filed under: Ananas comosus (pineapple)
Lineage: Eukaryota; Viridiplantae; Streptophyta; Magnoliopsida; Poales; Bromeliaceae
Description: long non-coding RNA (ACOM_LNC041656)
Source: RNAcentral
CCAACUCACGAGCCAUUUUUUUUGGCGAAUCAUUCGCGAAUCGCGAAUAAUUCGCGGAUAAUUAUUUUUUACGAAAAAAACGUGUUUUUUUCCGAACUUUUUUGAAAAAUACGUUUAAGGCCGUUUAAUUCGGUUAUUCAAAAAUUCGUAAAUUAUUCACGAAUUUACUAACUAGGGGUGCUACCAAGUUUUCUGCCGUUUAGAUCUACCCCUUUGACCAUUUCCAUCCGUUCGAUCAUACUAUUCAACCAACCAACCACUCAACCUUAGGAGACCACUAUCAUUCUAACCGCAUAUCGCUUCAUCCAAGGGCCGAAAACUUAAUAGCACCAAUGAUUUGGUGCUAUUAAUAGUACUCUAGUCUAGUUCUACAUAUAUAUAUAUAUAUAUAUAUAUAUAUAUAUAUAUAUAGUCCGGUUACAAUGCUGUCAAUAGCACCAAGCACUUGGAGCUAUCAAGUUUUCUGCCGUUAGAU